AGAGAUGACUUCAAUAUUAAAGUAUUGCAAGCUUUUGUUGAUCUCCACGAAUUCACGGAUCUGAACUUGGUACAAGCACUUCGGCAGUUUCUGUGGAGCUUCCGCUUGCCCGGCGAGGCUCAGAAGAUUGACAGGAUGAUGGAGGCGUUUGCACAGAGAUACUGUCACUGUAAUCCUGGAGUCUUCCAGAGCACAGACACCUGUUACGUGCUGUCGUUUUCCAUCAUCAUGUUGAACACCAGUCUGCACAACCCCAACGUGAGGGACAAGCCCACGGUGGAGCGCUUCAUCAGCAUGAACAGAGGCAUCAACGACGGAGGAGAUUUACCCGAGGAGCUG
Molecule: long non-coding RNA, 339 nt
Organism: Sinocyclocheilus anshuiensis
Lineage: Eukaryota; Metazoa; Chordata; Actinopteri; Cypriniformes; Cyprinidae
Exons: 3
Source: RefSeq, a predicted model, not a curated record